AGUGAACGCUGGCGGUAGGCCUAACACAUGCAAGUCGAACGGCAGCACAGUAAGAGCUUGCUCCUACGGGUGGCGAGUGGCGGACGGGUGAGGAAUACAUCGGAAUCUACUUUUUCGUGGGGGAUAACGUAGGGAAACUUACGCUAAUACCGCAUACGUCCUACGGGUGAAAUCAGGGGAUCUUCGGACCUUGCGCGAUUCAAUGAGCCGAUGUCGGAUUAGCUAGUUGGCGGGGUAAAGGCCCACCAAGGCGACGCUCCGUAGCUGGUCUGAGAGGAUGAUCAGCCACACUGGAACUGAGACACGGUCCAGACUCCUACGGGAGGCAGCAGUGGGGAAUAUUGGACAAUGGGCGAAAGCCUGAUCCAGCAAUACCGCGUGGGUGAAGAAGGCCUUCGGGUUGUAAAGCCCUUUUGUUGGGGAAGAAAAGCAGCAGGUUAAUACCCCGAUGUUCUGACGGUACCCAAAGAAUAAGCACCGGCUAACUUCGUG
This 492-nucleotide ribosomal RNA is filed under the name uncultured bacterium. RNAcentral's name for it is "partial 16S ribosomal RNA". It matches the Rfam family "Bacterial small subunit ribosomal RNA", at positions 29 to 507 of the family's 1533-position model. The record is from RNAcentral.